AUCGUAGCGGAAUCGAGUGGAGUUGACGUUCGUCCGGCGUAUUAAGUCGUCGGUUGGGGUGGUGUUUUGGUUUGUCGUUCUGUCAAGGACGGCGGCUGGGACUGCUGCUUUGACUGGCGGUGUAUGUACGUUGGUGUGCGCUGAGGCAGUUAGUGCUGUGGCUGGAUGCGUGUUUAGAGGACCGACUUCGGUUGGAAACCUGAGUACGUGGAAGGCUGUUGGUGCUGGCUGUAGACCUUAGAUGGUCGCUCGGUGUUAGUUAAUGACCCAUUCGACCCGUCUUGAAACACGGACCAAGGAGUUUAAGGUGUACGCGAGUCAAAGGGCUUUUAAACCCCAAGGCGAAAUGAAAGUAAGGCAUAGAAAUGUCUUAGGUGUGAUCGGUCGGUGAAACGGCUGCGCAACACCGCUCCGUGCUGAGUACUUGUACUGGUGCGGCAGUUGAGCGUACUCUUUGAGACCCGAAAGAUGGUGAACUAUGCCAGGGCAGAACGAAGCCGGAGGAAACUCUGGUGGAAGUUCGUAGCGGUUCUGACGUGCAAAUCGAUCGUCUGACCUUGGUAUAGGGGCGAAAGACUAAUCGAACCAUCUAGUAG
This 596-nucleotide ribosomal RNA is filed under the name Aphelenchoididae sp. MMP-2018. RNAcentral describes it as "eukaryotic LSU rRNA". It matches the Rfam family "Eukaryotic large subunit ribosomal RNA", at positions 407 to 950 of the family's 3401-position model. The record is from RNAcentral. Lineage: Eukaryota; Metazoa; Nematoda; Chromadorea; Rhabditida; Aphelenchoididae.